Molecule: long non-coding RNA, 2475 nt
Filed under: Capsicum annuum
Lineage: Eukaryota; Viridiplantae; Streptophyta; Magnoliopsida; Solanales; Solanaceae
Description: long non-coding RNA (CANN_LNC019390)
Source: RNAcentral
UAAUGAAAGAAGGAACGAUACCGGAACAAUUUGUAGGGCUCUUUGAUUCUUCUUCAAUGGUUUCUCCCACAAUAGUAAGUAAAGUUCUCUUUACUUUCUUUGAGUUUGAGCUUGCAAUAUCGAUAUCUGUUUAAUUACCAAAAAAUAUAAAGGGGAAAACAUAGUAAUUAUAUGUAUACUUGCAGUUUAGCAUUAGAUAGUAAGGUAUGUUGAACAAUAAGAAACUAUGUUAUUACUAAAUAAUACUAUUACCAAGUACUUACUGAUCAUCUUCGAUCUCUAUAUCUUUAAUAAAUAAUACUGCUACCAAGUACUGACUGAUCAUCUUUGUAUCGCUAACCAAUUUGCAUAGAUAUGUAGGGUUAGUUUGAAUGUCUCUUUCAAGUUAGUUAGCUGAUAGAUUAUUCAAUUUAUGUCUCUUUCAAUUCGGUAUAUCCAAUAGGAUUUACUCCUAAGCUAUGGAACAUGAAUAGGGUCCCCCUCACCUCCACCUACCAAAAUAAAGAAUUAGUGCAAGACUUCAGGAGGUCAAGCUAGUACAAUAAUAUUACAGAAGCAUCUUGAAUUUUUCAUAUUGGAUUUAGUGUGGAUGAAAGGAGAAAAAAAGUAAUGGAUGUUCUGGGGCUUCUAAAAAUUUGGGUUCUCAGAGAAAACAAUUUGGAAAUUAAGGACACAUUUAGCAGUGAUCCUUAUGUUGUUGGUGAUGUGGGUGGACAGGCAUGUUUUAUUUUCUUUAUUAUCUAAGUUCUCUCUUGUACUUCCAUGUCUUUCUAACAAUUUUAUAUGUGCUAAAAGAAUCCAACCUUUUAUAUUUGAUGGUGGCUUUUGCUAGUCUGUUUUCUAGAUGCUUCUUUCUCUUAUUUUUAUGAGAAUUGAGCAGGUUUCUUUGUGUUAGGUUGAUAUGUAUUCCUUGUUCCUCCAAGUCUGGUUAAGUUUUUCUGCCACCCUCUUAGAAUCCUUCUUGCUUAUUCUGGAAUUGAUUUGAUCAGCUUUCGAAGCUCUCAUUUUUGUUUUUAAUUGUGGAAUUUGUAUAUGAUAUCAAGGCUUAGGCGUCAUUUGUUUUCAUUUAAUUGAGGUCUAAAUUUGAUCUGUUUAGAUCUUAGGCCAUUAAGUGCAUUAAUCUACAUUAAGAUGUCAACACUUAUUUGGUCUGAAUAGGUAAUCAUUAGAAUCUUGAACAAAGUCUUUAUAUCAUUAAGAGGUAUUUUUUGUGUGCAUAAUGUAAAUUCUUCAAGCUCCUAAUGCUUAAUGUGAUUUUUUUAUUUGAGUAAAUGACAGAAAAUUUGCUUAAGGUGUAGCCAACUGGUGAAAAUAGAUUUUAGGAAGACAUUUUGCUUUGCCCUUUAGAGAAAUAAUCAGUUCCUAACAAAAUUGCAUUUAUGCAAAUUUUUGCUUAGAACUUGAUUUGUCUAUUGCCUUUUUUGGAUGAUUGAUUCGAUGUGCCCUUAACUUAAUUUAGCUUUUUUGGUUGAUUGAUUCUUGAAGACAAGAAUAUGGACAGCGAAAUACUGGUUUUUGUGCCAAAUACUGAUUUUUGUGUAUUAUUCAGAUCCCUCUUGAUAUGUCAUUUCAAUGCAACAUUUUUGUGUCAAUGUUGAAUAGAAUAUUAUAAUGACAUGAACAACACUCGCUCAAUUUUUUUUGACACUAAACUGUGAAUUAUUACCAUGAAUCUUAUGUUCGUAUGUACGUUUCCGCGAAUUGUUGAACUAUUUGAAUGAAAUGUUGUCCACAACUGAUGUUAAGCCUGACUUUUACACCUUUCCUCCAGUGUUGAAAGCUUGUGAUAGUAUAAUUAAUGGUCUAAAAAUACACUGCUAGGCUUCAAAACUUGGGUUAAAGUGGGAUGUGUUUUUAGCUGCCUCAUUGGUGCAUGUGUGUUGUCGUUUUCAAUCUUUGUGUGUUGCCUUAAGAAUUUUUAAGGACAUGCCUUGUCGGGAUAUAUAUGGGUUGUUGGAAUGCUAUGAUAACUGGGUAAUUUUGUCAGAAUGGAAAUGCUAUUAGUUAUUAUACUACUAAUUGAGUAGUUUAAAAUUGUAACGUGAAGUAGUUAUUGAUUGAUUUAUUUAACAUUUAUCAUGAUGCUUUUAGUUGUUUGUAGUUGUACGCAAACAUAAAUGUUUUAUAAUGAGGACUGAAAGUUUAUUUACUUGAUUUUUAUACUUUGAAUUUUUAUGUAGUCAAGUGAUGCGGCCAGUGGACCUAUUUCACCCAUAGAUGCAAGGAGACCACAUGAUUAUUGUGAUCCUAAUGACAGUCAUUGAUUUCAUUAUAAAUUGUCUUGGAUAUUCAAUUAUGUCUUGAUGUAUUUGUGUAUUUGGUUGGACUGAAUCUUAAAACACUGAAGUUUUUGUAUUUAAAUUUGAUUUUGAAGAUACUACUUAAUGUUGGAAAAUUGGAGUUUGAAAAUGUUAAUGUUGAAUAUUUAAUUUUGAAGUUUAAUGUUUAAUGUAUUUUUGACGUGUUUUUCUAUUA